This is a long non-coding RNA of Grammomys surdaster, 1423 nucleotides long. RefSeq lists it as uncharacterized. NCBI's taxonomy places the organism in Eukaryota, Metazoa, Chordata, Mammalia, Rodentia, Muridae. The transcript is spliced from 4 exons. The record is from RefSeq and is a predicted model, not a curated record.
CGAGAGAAGAGGAACUUCCAAAAUAGUGAAUGGCUUGGAUCCUAGUGACAGUCGGCAUUAAAAGCUACUGGAUGGAAGCUGCUGGAAACUCGCUUCUGCAUGAGUCCACUAAGGUGAGAAGAGGCUGCUAGGUCACCUGGAGCUGGGGUCACAGGCAGUUAUGAGUAACCUGAUUUGGCAUUGAGCCUGGAACUCACUCAGGUCCUCUGGAAGAGCCUUUGACCAUUGAGCCACCUCAACCCCAGGAGGGGAAGACCUGGUGUAUACUCAGGACCUAGAAUGACCAAGAAUGUGGAACCUUAAAGAAAGAAAACCAAGCCAUUGGCAAAAAGCUGAUGAAGAACCAAGCUGCCUCUGUGUUAAACUUAAAGGCCAUCUAAUAGUAAAGGUAAAGGAGGUUCCUUCCUGUUUAUGAUUAAGCCUCUGUUUCUGAAGGAUUAGGCUAGGCCCCACCCGUAACUCUAACUACAAAUACUCCAGGAAUGACGAUCAUGCCUUUGUUUCAUGAAGUUGUUGAUAACCAUCUUGCAGCCCUGCCCUUGUUUCCAAGGGUUAUAUGACCUCCUCUGACUACUCUUUUAUGGCUACCUGUUGUUAUGACUACCUUGUCUGCCCUCCAAUCAUGUUCUUGUUUCAGGAGGGACAAGCUUGUUAUCCUUAUGUUCGGCUCCUGUAACCCCGCCUAUUUUGACUGCCAAAUCUUCCAUUUCCUAUCCUUGAGCAAUAAAUAAAAGUCUUGUGUUCCUCACGUCCAAUUCUGACCUCUGGAACCCUGCCUUAGGGGGAGGCAGCCCAUGUACAGGAAUAAAAAGCUUGCUUUAGUUAAUUUGGUCAUGAUGAUUUGGGUCUGUGGUCUUUCUCCUUCCAUCUUUGAGAUUAAUACUGGAUCCACCAAGAAGUUGGUAAAGAAGUCCUCCAGUCAGUGUCUAAGUUAGUAAAAGAGCAGGUGAGUAUGGGGAAAGAAAGUACAAAUAAAACUGAACCUGUAAGCCUAAGGGCAAAUAUUGUGGGGAAUAUUAAAAAAGAAUAUGACAGGCUUCCUGUGCUACUGCCAGCAACUUUCUGCCCCGUGGGCUGGCCAGCUAUGCACUCUGACUUGAGAGCUCCAAAAUCUCUCCUCCUCCUGCUGCCUCCACAGCUAGCCCCAUGCAGUGACCGCCCAGCUCGCAGUUAGAUAGCACAAUGCCCAGUAAAACCAAAACUCUUGAAGCUUAUAAUUAACCAGUCAGAUUUAUAUAUCAAUAAAUUCUCAGUUCACAAGAUGCCCUCAUAAUAAUUUCAGGGGUAAUUGAUAAAGAUACAAGCUGCCCAACUAGAUUUAGACAAGUUAUCCCAAUUAUUCUAUCCCUGCAUGAUAUUCAUAACUACCUGUGGCUGAUGUCCUUAAAGCAAAACCAGCUGGCUGUAGUGGCACUAGAGAGGA